RNAcentral lists this ribosomal RNA (503 nucleotides) under uncultured bacterium. Its description in RNAcentral is "bacterial SSU rRNA". It matches the Rfam family "Bacterial small subunit ribosomal RNA", at positions 8 to 509 of the family's 1533-position model. The record is from RNAcentral.
AGAGUUUGAUUAUGGCUCAGGAUGAACGCUGGCGGCGUGCUUAACACAUGCAAGUCGAACGAAGCACUUAGGACAGAUUACUUCGGUUUGAAGUCCUAUUUGACUGAGUGGCGGACGGGUGAGUAACGCGUGGGUAACCUGCCUCAUACAGGGGGAUAACAGUUAGAAAUGACUGCUAAUACCGCAUAAGCGCACGGUCUCGCAUGGGACAGUGUGAAAAACUCCGGUGGUAUGAGAUGGACCCGCGUCUGAUUAGCUGGUUGGUGAGGUAAGGGCUCACCAAGGCGACGAUCAGUAGCCGGCCUGAGAGGGUGAACGGCCACAUUGGGACUGAGACACGGCCCAAACUCCUACGGGAGGCAGCAGUGGGGAAUAUUGCACAAUGGGGGAAACCCUGAUGCAGCGACGCCGCGUGAAGGAAGAAGUAUUUCGGUAUGUAAACUUCUAUCAGCAGGGAAGAAAAUGACGGUACCUGACUAAGAAGCCCCGGCUAACUACGUGCC